AACGGCGAGUGAAGCGGCAAAAGCUCAAAUUUGAAAUCUGGCUCCUUCGGGGCCCGAGUUGUAAUUUGUAGAGGAUGCUUCGGGCGUGGCCGCGGUCUAAGUCCCCUGGAACGGGGCGUCGCAGAGGGUGAGAAUCCCGUCUUCGGCCGGCCGGCUUCGCCCAUGUGAAGCUCCUUCGACGAGUCGAGUUGUUUGGGAAUGCAGCUCUAAAUGGGUGGUAAAUUUCAUCUAAAGCUAAAUACUGGUCGGAGACCGAUAGCGCACAAGUAGAGUGAUCGAAAGAUGAAAAGCACUUUGAAAAGAGAGUUAAACAGCAUGUGAAAUUGUUGAAAGGGAAGCGCUUGCGACCAGAGUCGGCCGCGGGGGUUCAGCGGGCAUUCGUUGCCCGUGCACUCCCCCGUGGCCGGGCCAGCGUCGGUUUCGACGGCCGGUCAAAGGCCCCCGGAAUGUGUCACCCUUCGGGGUGUCUUAUAGCCGGGGGUGCAAUGCGGCCAGUCGGGACCGAGGAACGCGCUUCGGCACGGACGCUGGCUUAAUGGUCGUAAGCGACCCGUCUUGAAACACGGACCAAGGAGUCUAACAUCCACGCGAGUGUUCGGGUGUCAAACCCGUCCGCGCAGUGAAAGCGAACGGAGGUGGGAACCCUUAAGGGUGCACCAUCGACCGAUCCAGAAGUCUUCGGAUGGAUUUGAGUAAGAGCGUGGCUGUUGGGACCCGAAAGAUGGUGAACUAUGCCUGAAUAGGGUGAAGCCAGAGGAAACCUCCUGGUGGAGGCUCGCAGCGGUUCUGACGUGCAAAUCGAUCGUCAAAUUU
This 813-nucleotide ribosomal RNA is filed under the name [Emmonsia] crescens. Its description in RNAcentral is "eukaryotic LSU rRNA". It matches the Rfam family "Eukaryotic large subunit ribosomal RNA", at positions 85 to 912 of the family's 3401-position model. The record is from RNAcentral. Lineage: Eukaryota; Fungi; Ascomycota; Eurotiomycetes; Onygenales; Ajellomycetaceae.